Molecule: long non-coding RNA, 3447 nt
Organism: Haplochromis burtoni (Burton's mouthbrooder)
Lineage: Eukaryota; Metazoa; Chordata; Actinopteri; Cichliformes; Cichlidae
Exons: 3
Source: RefSeq, a predicted model, not a curated record
GAAGUGUGCUCUUCCGAUGCUUUCUCCCUGAUUUGAAGGGUGAGAAGUUCAUUAGCUCAUCAAUAAUGAAGAUCUUUUCUCUAAAAAGCACUUAGUACAAACUCACAUGUCCAUAUGGGUUACAGUCCAGAACUAUUUGUUUCAUGAAAUGUCACUUUUAAUAUUGUCUUGUUCCCUCUCAUGAUCUUACAGCACAAAUUUAGAAAAUCACCAGUAACAUAGUUACCUGCAGUAAUUAUUUCUAUCCCUCUUAGAUCUUGUGUUUGUCUUAUUUCACUGGUUAUUGAUUUGUUGUGCAAGUUACACCCCCUUGAACAUAUUAAGCACUAUCAGUAGCUUUAUUCUGAUGUGCCUGGCAGCACAGUUAGUGAGAGGCCAUUGAUAACAAGAAAGAGGAUUUUCGCCCUGUCGUAAUUAUGGCUGAGACAGUGGAGCAGUGUGCAGAUUAAUCCCUUAAUUUUCACUAACAGUUUGGUAACUUAAGAGCCAAGUGCACCCAAUUUAACCUGCUAGCUACUAAUCUGUGCUGCCUCUUCAGCACUGGUGAGCGCACACUGCUGUUGGGUCUACACUCCAGAUUUCGUUGAGGUUACCAGCUGACUCCUGACCUCUAAAUGACAACUUGUCUCCAGUUUGCGUAAUGAUAUAUUUGAAAUUCACUUAUGAAUUCACUUCAGAAUAUGUGUUAUAUAGAAUAUAACAACUAUAUAUCUAUAGAUAUCUAUAGAUAGAGAUCUAGAUAUAUAGAUAUAUAUCUAUAGAGAGAUAGAUAGAUAUAGAGAUACAAUUGAUAAAGCCUACAUAAGAGCAAAUAAAUGGGAUAGAGGUGAUGCCUAUUACUUUACUUUUAAAUAUUUAUUAUUAAAAGCUUCAGUUGUUGUGAAUAACCACAGCAAAUUGUGCCCUAUAAUCAGGAACAAACUAAAGGCUUUUUUUUGUUUUUGUGGACAGAAUGAUCAAAGCUUUUACUCAGUUACUCAUUUUGGAUUGACUAUGUUGAUUAUAUUUAGCAGGCAAGAAUUUCAAAGCAGAAGAGCAAAUGAGCUUUCUGACCAAGUUUGUACUGCUAACACUUUGAAAUACAUCUGCAUUAUAGAGUUCUACAAAUACCCUGAAGCAUGGGUUUCAUGCCUAUCCUGAUCAUUCUGGAGGGUUUUUUUCUUUUUUUUUUUUUUUUUUUUUUUUGGCAGUAUUUAGUCUUUCAGUUGUAGCAUCUAUUCACAUAUGUCCUGCCAAGAUUUCAGACCUCUUGUUUUUCACUUGUUGGCCAACAUAACCGUGUCCAUUUUGUCCCAUGCGAGGUUAUUUUGGCUGCUUCUGAUUUGGCCUGCACCUGUUGGCUUUGGCUGUGUAUUUCCCCCCGAAAAGUGGAUGGUUAGUGUUCAUCCAGUCAACGCAGUUUGGUUUGUGUUGAGAUUGUCUGUUCCUGUGCUGUGAUUCUGAUUUGAUUGACUGUAUCAUUUUGGUCACUGUCAAAGUCUCCACAUGCAAUGGCUGUAAUGCUAGGUUUGUUUCUCAAGUCGGCCUCAUAUCUUUAUCGGAAGUAGUGCUCAUUAGUGGCAGUUUCUCACACACACACACACACACACGCAAUCUGUUAUAUAAUCAAUGUACACAAUAGAUGCCCACUGUUUUGGCUUGUCUUAAUGCGUUUGAAAACUUCUAGUUUGACAAAUGCAUAAGAAACUGUUUAUUUGCUGUACUGAAUCAAAUAGUAAAUGAUGUAUGCAGUAGGCAGUCUGAGUUGGUAGUAUUGCUUUAUAAUGCCUUUAUCCAUAGUGCCUAGGUAUAUAGUCUAUUGCUGCAUUUGUAUAGUUAUAUAUUUUUUUUCAUAGUCUGUACUAUAUUUCUAAUAUGGAGUUUCCAGAAUAGUUUUUGUAUGUCUUAGUUAUUGUUUAUACUAUAGCUUUUAUAUGUGUAUGUUUUUGUUUGGCAUUUGUUGUGGAGGGCAAAGAGAAUUUCUUUGCACGGGGAAACAUGUUUCUUUAUUGUGCAUAUGACAAUACAACUUUGAAGCUUCAAACGUCUGAUCAAUGGCAGCUUUUAACCUACACUGUGUAUAGUAUAGCUAUCAUCCUGUUUUCUGCUGCAAGUAGGUGCCGGUUAAGCAUUACACAACAGCUCUUCUAUCGGAAACUUACCUUUUGGACUCAUCAGAAAUUAAAGUUCUCAGUUGAGGCUAAGAAAACAGAAAGGGGGCAUGGCUUACAAUCAAUUCUGUUUUUUGGGUUUCUUAUUUUUAUUUCGGCACAAGGAAAGCUUAUAUGCAGCAAAAGAUGAGACUUGUGUUUGUAAGCAGAUGUUAUACCUUUACAGCUCAUUGAGCUGCCUUGGGCUCAGCAGAUUUGCACUACCUCCUGUUUAAGUUGUUCUAGAUUAACUGUGGUGUUUGCUUUCUUGCUCAAAGACUAAAAUUCAGUGAAGCUAUUUGGAAAGAGAGAAGUUACCUGUACCUGUAUUAAUAAUGUAUUGGCAGGGCUUGCCCAGGACCAUGAAUAGAAAGCAGUGAAUAUUAAAAUACAUGGAUGGCUAAAAGCAGAGAGACUGAAUAGUGUGUUUCUUUAGUGCCUUUUUGUGAUAGGGAUCUUGGUCUGUCUGCUGGCAGUGAAGGGUGCUUAUUAACUUCCUUUUGCAUCUUUCACCUUUUCACUGUUGUUUUUUUCUAAACAUUCAUUGUGCAAGUUUUCUCUGCCACCGCUCGUUUUUUUCUUCUUUUUUUCCCCUCUUUUCCUUCUAUGCUUGGCCUAUUUUGUCUUACUCUGUAAGCAUCAUAAGAUUGUCCAGCCAGUUCCAGACAGAGCUUAAUUUCACUUAUAUUCUAUAGCAUGUAGUACAAAAUAUUUAGGAGUAGGAAAAUUAAGAAUUAAAAAAACAUCUUAAAGGUUAUAACCAUAGCCAUAGCCAAGCAUGGACAUACUUUUAGUAUCCCUCUUGUUUCUUUUGAAAGCUAGUGUAUGCAGUUCGUGUUGCAAACCCCCAUAGACUUGCUUGCUACAAGAAAAAGAGCUUGUCUGUUCAAUAUUUUACAGUGAGAAACUCUUAACAAGUGUCUCAGCCUGUGAGGGACUGUGAAAAUGGACAAACCAAGAUGUAGGCCAAAAGAGAGUAGUACCUAUUCAGCCUUAGAAACUUUAAAAAAUAAUUAAUGAAAAUCUACUAAAAUUAGAGAAAGUUAUUAUUUAAGAUGUCAAGCAUUUAUACAUUAUGUAUAUUGUGUUUUUUAUAAUAGCUUUUUGACAUAUAUAAACAUAUUUGUGGCGAUUAUUUCUUUAAAUAUGGCUAAAUAUAAAUAAGGAAAGAAUUUUUGAAAUGAUACCGAAUAUUGUUGGAAUGCUGUUUCAAAAUUAUUGUGGCAAAUAUAUCUGAAUCACUUUGUUUUUUGUUUUGUUUUGUUUUUUGCGUUUGUUGGCAAAAAAAAAAAGUAAAAGAAAACAAUAUCUGUUUCUU